CCAUUUUUCUACCACCAAUGAAAUUAGGUCCCCCAUGCUUUCAUUGUGCUACUCUGAUUUAGUAUCCUCGAUCAACCCUUUCAUCCCCCUUAAUUAAUCAGAAACAAAUGAAAUAGGAGGACCAAAUGUCCUCAUCAUCCUAGAUUCCUAAAAUGCAUCAAAAAAAAAUUUCUCCACUCACUAUAGUUUCCUAGACCUUAAUAUAUUUUGCACGUCAACAUAUCAAAUAUUUCAAUGAUCCUCAAACCAUGCUCUGAUACCACCUCUGUCACGCCCCUCAAAA
This 283-nucleotide long non-coding RNA is filed under the name Musa acuminata (dwarf banana). Its description in RNAcentral is "long non-coding RNA (MACU_LNC010381)". The record is from RNAcentral. Lineage: Eukaryota; Viridiplantae; Streptophyta; Magnoliopsida; Zingiberales; Musaceae.